This 209-nucleotide unclassified non-coding RNA is filed under the name Hevea brasiliensis (rubber tree). Lineage: Eukaryota; Viridiplantae; Streptophyta; Magnoliopsida; Malpighiales; Euphorbiaceae. The record is from RNAcentral.
CCCAAAUGUGACAUAGUUGUCAUCAACACACCUCUUACAGAGAAGACAAGGGGGUUGUUUAACAAAGAUAAGAUUGCAAAAAUGAAGAAAGGUGUUCUCAUUGUUAAUAAUGCUCGAGGAGCAAUUAUGGAUACACAAGCAGUUGUCGAUGCUUGCUCUAGCGGACAGAUUGGAGGUUAUAGUGGGGAUGUCUGGUACCCACAACCAGC